This is a long non-coding RNA of Alosa alosa (allis shad), 301 nucleotides long. RefSeq lists it as uncharacterized. The transcript is spliced from 4 exons. Lineage: Eukaryota; Metazoa; Chordata; Actinopteri; Clupeiformes; Clupeidae. The record is from RefSeq and is a predicted model, not a curated record.
CCCCUCAACCUGGAGAAAACUGUUAAGGACCGCAACACUCUUCACCACCUCAACUCCCUGCACCUGCACCUGCAUUUAACAUACGGAGAGUUACUCAAGGAACGGCAGUCCCUCCUCAACUCCCUCCACCCCCACACCAGCCCUCAACGUGCAGCGAACAGAGGAGCUUUGUGCUGUGAGGAAAAACAUGGUGACACGGUUUCAACCGGCGGUGGAUCGGGCAACGAGGAGAUGUGUUCCGCCUCCAUCCACACAAAUGGAGUAAUAGGAGAAAUAAGCAUUAAACAAUCUUUUUAUUGAA